Molecule: ribosomal RNA, 492 nt
Filed under: uncultured bacterium
Lineage: Bacteria
Description: partial 16S ribosomal RNA
Rfam family: Bacterial small subunit ribosomal RNA
Source: RNAcentral
AGUGAACGCUGGCGGUAGGUCUAACACAUGCCAGUCGAACGGCAGCACAGUAAGAGCUUGCUCUUACGGGUGGCGAGUGGCGGACGGGUGAGGAAUACAUCGGAAUCUACUUUUUCGUGGGGGAUAACGUAGGGAAACUUACGCUAAUACCGCAUACGACCUACGGGUGAAAGCAGGGGAUCUUCGGACCUUGCGCGAUUGAAUGAGCCGAUGUCGGAUUAGCUAGUUGGCGGGGUAAAGGCCCACCAAGGCGACGAUCCGUAGCUGGUCUGAGAGGAUGAUCAGCCACACUGGAACUGAGACACGGUCCAGACUCCUACGGGAGGCAGCAGUGGGGAAUAUUGGACAAUGGGCGCAAGCCUGAUCCAGCCAUACCGCGUGGGUGAAGAAGGCCUUCGGGUUGUAAAGCCCUUUUGUUGGGAAAGAAAAGCAGCAGGUUAAUACCCCGCUGUUCUGACGGUACCCAAAGAAUAAGCACCGGCUAACUUCGUG